Molecule: long non-coding RNA, 1473 nt
Filed under: Lynx pardinus (Iberian lynx)
Lineage: Eukaryota; Metazoa; Chordata; Mammalia; Carnivora; Felidae
Source: RNAcentral
UAAAUUGCUUACUUGUGAUUCCUUUUGUCAGGAUCUGCUCCUGGGGCACCUGACCUAAAACAGUGGUUUUCUGAAGUUUGGACAAGUUAUUUCUCUUUGUUUCUUCCUCUGAAAGCUGUAGGCAAUGACUAUCCUCACUUUGUGGUGCUUCUGUGAGGUUUAAAGAUCACUUAGCCCGCCUCUGGCAGGUGUUUGGAGUACAAUCAGUGUUAUCCAAAAGGGAUGCUCGCAGAGGAAGGUAUGCCACCAUUUUGUUCAUCUUUAACUCACCCCUUCCCCUUUCCCUUCAAAACACAUACAGCAACUGGUGAAGUAUGGUCGACUACAUUUUGUUCAUGCCCUGCUUUGGGUUAUCAACUCCUCAGGGGAGAGAUGGCAUCUAGAGUGUGCCAUGAUCCCAGUUUGCCUGGGACUGUCUCAGUUUUAGCACUGAAAAUCCUGCAUCCCUGAAACCUCUGUCUUGCACAAAUCAGGAUGGUUGUCACCCUAUACAUUUUUUUUGUUUCUAAUUGUGCCUUACCAUCUAAGCACACACAUGGGCAUGGACUUGAUACUCAAUACAUACUUGAUGCAGGAAGUAUCAGUGAAGUAUUGAUGUAUGAGUACCCAUGACAUUUCCUGACAUGCCUUUUGGUCUGUUUUCUCUAGGAAGGUGUUUGUGGGGACCCAAAAUAAUCACAAGAGUCCUUGAAAGUGGAAGAGAAAGGCACAAAUGGGGAGUUCAGAGGAAGAUGUGACUGUAAAAGACAGACACAGAAGAAGGACUCAAAACUCCAUCCCUGCCAUGUUGGCCUUGAAGAUGGGCAAAGAGGCUGCCUCUGGAAGCUGGAAUGGGCAAAGAAACAGAUUCUCCUCAGGCAAUGAAUGGCCCCCUAGAACCUCCAGAGGCACAACAACCGUGCCCAUAUCUUGAUGUUAGCCCCAUGAGGCCAAUGUUGGACCUCUAACUUAACAGAAAUAUCAGAAAAGAAAUCUGUGUUUUAAGCCACUGUGUGGUCACUGGUUGCAGUAGCCAUAGAAAAUGAACACAGACCCCUUUCAGAAUCUACGGAAAGUGACAUGUACGGGAUGCCUGGGUGGCUCAGUCAGUUAAGCAUCCUACUUCCGCUCAAGUCAUGAUCUCCAGGUUCCUGGGUUCGAGGCCGGCAUUAGGCUCUUUGCUGACAGCUCAGACCCUGGAUCCUGCCUGGGAUUCUGUGUCUCUCUCUUUCUCUGCCCCUUCCCUGCUCAUGCACGUGCACGCCUGCUCUCUCUCUCUCUCUCAAAAAUAAAUAAACGUUAAAAUUUUUUUUUUAAAAGUGACAGGUACUUCUUGCAAGGAAAAAAAAAUGCAUUCAGUUUUAGGAAUUUCCAGAUGAUGGACUCCAGGUAAAGGAUUUCAGUUCAGAUGUCAAGGGCUAUAUUCCAGAUGGAAAACAACACGCAGUGAACUCUAAGAAAGACUAAAUGCUGCUGGCCUCAGAACAUAUGAUU